This 468-nucleotide ribosomal RNA is filed under the name uncultured bacterium. RNAcentral's name for it is "partial 16S ribosomal RNA". It matches the Rfam family "Bacterial small subunit ribosomal RNA", at positions 28 to 507 of the family's 1533-position model. The record is from RNAcentral.
GACGAACGCUGGCGGCGUGCUUAACACAUGCAAGUCGAACGGAAAGGCCCUGCUUUUGUGGGGUGCUCGAGUGGCGAACGGGUGAGUAACACGUGAGUAACCUGCCCUUGACUUUGGGAUAACUUCAGGAAACUGGGGCUAAUACCGGAUAGGAGCUCCUGCUGCAUGGUGGGUGUUGGAAAGUUUCGGCGGUUGGGGAUGGACUCGCGGCUUAUCAGCUUGUUGGUGGGGUAGUGGCUUACCAAGGCUUUGACGGGUAGCCGGCAUGCGAGGGUGACCGGGCACAUUGGGACUGAGAUACGGCCCAGAGUCCUACGGGAGGCAGCAGUGGGGAAUAUUGCACAAUGGGCGGAAGCCUGAUGCAGCAACGCCGCGUGCGGGAUGACGGUCUUCGGGUUGUAAACCGCUUUAGCCUGUGACGAAGCGUGAGUGACGGUAAUGGGUAAAGAAGCACCGGCUAACUACGUG